AGAGUUUGAUCAUGGCUCAGAUUGAACGCUGGCGGUAACUUUUAAACAUGCAAGUCGAGCGGUAACAGACAUAAAGAUUCAGCUUGCUGAAUCUGGUGCUGACGAGCGGCGAACGGGUGAGUAACGCGUAGGAAUCUACCCAGUAGCGGGGGAUAGCCCGGGGAAACCCGGAUUAAUACCGCAUAAGCCCUAAGGGGGAAAGGGGGCAGCUUGCUGCUCUCACUAUUGGAUGAGCCUGCGUAAGAUUAGCUUGUCGGUAGGGUAAAGGCCUACCAAGGCAACGAUCUUUAGCUGGUCUGAGAGGACGAUCAGCCACAUUGGGACUGAGACACGGCCCAGACAUCUACGGAUGGCAGCAGUUAAGAAUAUUGGACAAUGGGGGCAACCCUGAUCCAGGUAUACCGCGUGUGUGAAGAAGGCCCUAGGGUUGUAAAGCACUUUAAUCAGAGAAGAAGCAUUUUAAAUUAAUACCUUAAUAUGUUGACGUUACCUGAAGAAUAAGGACCGGCUAACUCCGUGCCAGCAGCCGCGGUAAUACGGAGGGUCCAAGCGUUAAUCGGAAUUACUGGGCGUAAAGCGCGCGUAGGCGGUUUAGCAAGUUGAAUGUGAAAGCCCUGGGCUCAACCUAGGAACUGCAUUCAAAACUACUAAA
RNAcentral lists this ribosomal RNA (652 nucleotides) under uncultured marine bacterium. RNAcentral describes it as "bacterial SSU rRNA". It matches the Rfam family "Bacterial small subunit ribosomal RNA", at positions 8 to 640 of the family's 1533-position model. The record is from RNAcentral.